RNAcentral lists this microRNA (24 nucleotides) under Capitella teleta. Its description in RNAcentral is "cte-miR-2718". The record is from miRBase by way of RNAcentral. Lineage: Eukaryota; Metazoa; Annelida; Polychaeta; Capitellidae.
UGCCAACGGCUCGAGGAAUGUCCU